RNAcentral lists this ribosomal RNA (450 nucleotides) under uncultured bacterium. RNAcentral's name for it is "partial 16S ribosomal RNA". It matches the Rfam family "Bacterial small subunit ribosomal RNA", at positions 354 to 796 of the family's 1533-position model. The record is from RNAcentral.
GUGGGGAAUUUUGGACAAUGGGCGAAAGCCUGAUCCAGCCAUGCCGCGUGUGUGAAGAAGGUCUUCGGAUUGUAAAGCACUUUAAGUUGGGAGGAAGGGCAGUAAGUUAAUACCUUGCUGUUUUGACGUUACCGACAGAAUAAGCACCGGCUAACUUCGUGCCAGCAGCCGCGGUAAUACGAAGGGUGCAAGCGUUAAUCGGAAUUACUGGGCGUAAAGCGCGCGUAGGUGGUUUUGUAAGUUGGAGGUGAAAUCCCCGGGCUCAACCUGGGAACUGCCUCCAAAACUGCAUGACUAGAGUACGGUAGAGGGUAGUGGAAUUUCCUGUGUAGCGGUGAAAUGCGUAGAUAUAGGAAGGAACACCAGUGGCGAAGGCGACUACCUGGACUGAUACUGACACUGAGGUGCGAAAGCGUGGGGAGCAAACAGGAUUAGAAACCCGAGUAGUCC